This 539-nucleotide long non-coding RNA is filed under the name Olea europaea subsp. europaea. Lineage: Eukaryota; Viridiplantae; Streptophyta; Magnoliopsida; Lamiales; Oleaceae. The record is from RNAcentral.
GAUAUUUUGCACAAUGGAGAUUCAGACUUUCCCCAAAACCAAAAUCAAUAUCACCCACCCUGUUGUCGCCCACGGCCACAGCCAAACCCAUGGUCACUACCAUCUCCGCUACCAUUUUCUUUCCCACCCUUUCUUCCCUUUUCACUUUCUUCUAUUCCUCACUAUAUCAAUUAUCCUAGUAUUAGCUCAAUACAAGAGAACUGUACCAAUUAUCGUCUGCUUCUUUCGGAAAAUUGGCAGUAAGCAUUUGAAUAAAUUCACAUCAUCAGCCUCUUUUCCACUUCACUGCAAAACCCCCAAAACUCGGCUCUCCCAAUUCAAAUUAGAAUCAAGAAAUCGAACACCACAAUACGUGUAAAUGGGACAUCGCAAUUUUGAAAAUCAACAGCAAUAGUGGUGGACGGGCUUCUAAACCUUUUCUUCUAAGCCAAUUGCAACCUUCUUCAUGGUCCACUACAAGUUCCAGCAAGUUUUCCCCGAACAUGUAUUUUCUCUAUUUUUCCUGACAAAAUUCUAUAGUUAUGCGUUUUCAAUUUGUA